Molecule: ribosomal RNA, 592 nt
Filed under: uncultured bacterium
Lineage: Bacteria
Description: bacterial SSU rRNA
Rfam family: Bacterial small subunit ribosomal RNA
Source: RNAcentral
CGUGGGUAAUCUGCCCUGAAGUGGGGAAUAACACCGGGAAACCGGUGCUAAUACCGCAUACGAUCACAGAGUCUGCGGAUUUUGUGAUGAAAGGAGCAAUUCGCUUUAGGAGGAGCCCGCGGCUGAUUAGCUAGUUGGCGAGGUAAUGGCUCACCAAGGCAACGAUCAGUAUCCGGUCUGAGAGGACGGUCGGACACACUGGAACUGAGACACGGUCCAGACUCCUACGGGAGGCAGCAGUGGGGAAUUUUUGGCAAUGGGGGCAACCCUGACCAAGCAACGCCGCGUGGGUGAUGAAGUCUCUUGGGACGUAAAACCCUUUCGACGGGGAAGAAACCGCAAGGUUGACGGUACCCGUAGAAGAAGCCCCGGCUAACUCCGUGCCAGCAGCCGCGGUAAUACGGGGGGGGCAAGCGUUGUUCGGAAUUACUGGGCGUAAAGGGCGCGUAGGCGGUUCGCUAAGUUGGAUGUGAAAACUCUGGGCUCAACCCAGAGCCUGCAUCCAAAACUGGCGGGCUAGAGUUCUGGAGGGGGUAGCGGAAUUCCUGGUGUAGCGGUGAAAUGCGUAGAUAUCAGGAGGAACACCGGUGGC